GUGCAAAAAGGGAUCUGGGAAGGGGGAUCAACGAAAAGGGGAUCUGGCACAGUGCCAGAUCUCCUUUUCGUGGGGCCUCAUAAAUUUUUGAUCUUUUUUAAAUUGUUGAC
This is a microRNA precursor of Caenorhabditis elegans, 110 nucleotides long. The record is from Ensembl. Lineage: Eukaryota; Metazoa; Nematoda; Chromadorea; Rhabditida; Rhabditidae.